This 225-nucleotide ribosomal RNA is filed under the name uncultured bacterium. RNAcentral's name for it is "partial 16S ribosomal RNA". It matches the Rfam family "Bacterial small subunit ribosomal RNA", at positions 29 to 271 of the family's 1533-position model. The record is from RNAcentral.
AACGAACGCUGGCGGCGUGGAUUAGGCAUGCAAGUCGAACGCGAAAGGGGAGCAAUCCCUGAGUAGAGUGGCGAACUGGUGAGUAACACGUGGAUAUCUACCUCUUGGUGGGGAAUAACCUGGGGAACCUGGGCUAAUACCGCAUAAGUUCGUGAGAAGAAAGCCGAAAGGCGCCGAGAGAGGAGUCCGCGGUCGAUUAGGUAGUUGGCGGGUAAGAGCCACCAA